This 460-nucleotide ribosomal RNA is filed under the name uncultured bacterium. Its description in RNAcentral is "partial 16S ribosomal RNA". It matches the Rfam family "Bacterial small subunit ribosomal RNA", at positions 338 to 795 of the family's 1533-position model. The record is from RNAcentral.
CCUACGGGUGGCAGCAGUGAGGAAUAUUGGUCAAUGGACGAGAGUCUGAACCAGCCAAGUAGCGUGAAGGAUGACUGCCCUAUGGGUUGUAAACUUCUUUUAUAUGGGAAUAAAAUGUUCCACGUGUGGGAUUUUGUAUGUACCCUAUGAAUAAGGAUCGGCUAACUCCGUGCCAGCAGCCGCGGUAAUACGGAGGAUCCGAGCGUUAUCCGGAUUUAUUGGGUUUAAAGGGAGCGUAGGUGGAUUGUUAAGUCAGUUGUGAAAGUUUGCGGCUCAACCGUAAAAUUGCAGUUGAAACUGGCAGUCUUGAGUACAGUAGAGGUGGGCGGAAUUCGUGGUGUAGCGGUGAAAUGCUUAGAUAUCACGAAGAACUCCGAGUGCGAAGGCAGUUCACUGGACUGCAACUGACACUGAGGCUCGAAAGUGUGGGUAUCAAACAGGAUUAGAUACCCUAGUAGUC